RNAcentral lists this ribosomal RNA (464 nucleotides) under Vreelandella stevensii. RNAcentral's name for it is "partial 16S ribosomal RNA". It matches the Rfam family "Bacterial small subunit ribosomal RNA", at positions 339 to 795 of the family's 1533-position model. The record is from RNAcentral. Lineage: Bacteria; Pseudomonadati; Pseudomonadota; Gammaproteobacteria; Oceanospirillales; Halomonadaceae.
CCACGGGGUGCUGCAGUGGGGAAUAUUGGACAAUGGGCGAAAGCCUGAUCCAGCCAUGCCGCGUGUGUGAAGAAGGCCUUCGGGUUGUAAAGCACUUUCAGUGGGGAAGAAAGCCUUGGGGCUAAUACCCUCGAGGAAGGACAUCACCCACAGAAGAAGCACCGGCUAACUCCGUGCCAGCAGCCGCGGUAAUACGGAGGGUGCGAGCGUUAAUCGGAAUUACUGGGCGUAAAGCGCGCGUAGGCGGUCUGAUAAGCCGGUUGUGAAAGCCCCGGGCUCAACCUGGGAACGGCAUCCGGAACUGUCAGGCUAGAGUGCAGGAGAGGAAGGUAGAAUUCCCGGUGUAGCGGUGAAAUGCGUAGAGAUCGGGAGGAAUACCAGUGGCGAAGGCGGCCUUCUGGACUGACACUGACGCUGAGGUGCGAAAGCGUGGGUAGCAAACAGGAUUAGAUACCCUUGUAGUC